This is a non-coding RNA of Penaeus vannamei (Pacific white shrimp), 334 nucleotides long. The record is from RefSeq and is a predicted model, not a curated record. Lineage: Eukaryota; Metazoa; Arthropoda; Malacostraca; Decapoda; Penaeidae.
AGCCUAGAGUUCGGGUAUGGGUAUGGUUCCCGUUGCAACACAGCUGGCAGCCCCAGUGUCUCCCCAGCCUCCCCCUCCUCCUACCUCUCAUCUCUCUCAUACACCAGCUCAGUUAUGACUGGUUCUGAUCUCGAUGAUGCUCUCAUGACCCGACGUUCCUCAAGCAGUGGUCUUCUCUCGCCUGAUGUGGAGUCACCAAGGACAGAUGGGGAGCAGGAUGGAUUCUACCUUUUGAAAAAAGAUUCUCAGCGACGGACAACUCUCACCAAAGUGUUGGUUCAUGAUCAACAAAAGAUUGUUCAAAUUUGGUUCCAGCGUCUGCAGCAGGAACUGG